RNAcentral lists this long non-coding RNA (954 nucleotides) under Homo sapiens (human). RNAcentral's name for it is "CNN3 divergent transcript (CNN3-DT)". Lineage: Eukaryota; Metazoa; Chordata; Mammalia; Primates; Hominidae. The record is from RNAcentral.
UUUGAUAGAGAAGGGACAGGGAACAGAACCUUCGCCCCCCGCCUGAGCAGCUGGUAGACUAGAUAUCUUCCAAACAUUAUCUCAUUUACUUCCCUGGAGUUACAAAUAGGUAGAUUUCAUGUCCGUUGAGGGGUGAGAAAGCUGAAACUUUGAGACUUAAGAAUCCUGGCCGAGGUCAGCCUCCUCCGAAGCUUCAUCUCUUGCCACCACUUUCUGGUGCACACCUAGGACAGAUUUCAAUCCCUGAGAUCCCAGGAUGAAACCUAUGUUUGCCAAAUACCAGCUACUGUGCCAGAAGAGAUCAUGGAACCAGGUGUGGAAAGCUGCUUGAGAAGAGGAGCCAAAACAUCAUAGUUGAACCGUCCUGGAAUAGAAACUCGCCCUGAAUUCUUUCUUGUGUGAAAUCCAAGAGCCCUCUCUUGGGGUUGGAUCGGGACCCUGUUCCUGUAACAAGUCCACAAUGCCAGAGAAUUAAAGAGAACCACAAAGCUGAACCUCAAAAAGUUAGCCUGGCGAGGGGAGGAUGAUGAGAUUUCCCCUGUUGUCACAUAAACAAGGAAGUAAAGGGGGCCCCUUGUGCUCUCAGAACUCCAAGCAUGAAACGAUAGCAAAGGGAAAAACAGCUAAGUGUUUCCUGGCUGAAUUUUAUUUUGCUUUCAGUUUCUGCCAUUUCAGUUCCUGUUAUCGUGCUUUGAGGUGCACUGAACUGCAGCAAACCCAGGGGAUCCAAGGCUACGUUGAAAAGCCUUUGACCACAGUGCAGGGAGCAGAAGACAUUAAUGACGUGAUGUCGACACAGCCCGCACUCAGGAUCCUCCAGGAAAAGAACACAGAGAUAACCCCGGAUCGAUGGUACUUUUUGAAAAUGCUUUAUUGCAAAAGAGUGGCUAGGGUUUUACAAGGGCUAUGAAGAAACAUAUUAAGGUUAAUAAAGCUUUUUAUUGAGUGUUUAAA